AUACGUAGGGUGCAGGCGUUAAUCGGAAUUACUGGGCGUAAAGCGUGCGCAGGCGGCUUCCUAAGUCAGAUGUGAAAUCCCCGGGCUUAACCUGGGAACUGCGUUUGAAACUGGGAGGCUAGAGUGCGGCAGAGGGAGGUGGAAUUCCACGUGUAGCAGUGAAAUGCGUAGAUAUGUGGAGGAACACCGAUGGCGAAGGCAGCCUCCUGGGCCAGCACUGACGCUCAUGCACGAAAGCGUGGGGAGC
RNAcentral lists this ribosomal RNA (247 nucleotides) under uncultured bacterium. Its description in RNAcentral is "partial 16S ribosomal RNA". It matches the Rfam family "Bacterial small subunit ribosomal RNA", at positions 523 to 769 of the family's 1533-position model. The record is from RNAcentral.